CAGCCCUCCCCGGGCCGCGCUGCUGCCUGGGCGCGGCGGCGGCGGCGGCGGCGGCGGCGGCGGCAGCGGCGGCGGCGCC
This 79-nucleotide microRNA precursor is filed under the name Ovis aries (sheep). Its description in RNAcentral is "miRNA (ENSOARG00000021653.1)". The record is from RNAcentral. Lineage: Eukaryota; Metazoa; Chordata; Mammalia; Artiodactyla; Bovidae.